CCACAUCAUGUUGAAGCACCGAUUCCCAUAUGAUCACCACAGUUAAGCAAUGUUGAGCCUGGUCAGUACCUAGAUGAGUGACUGCUUGGGAAUACCCGGUGUUAUA
Molecule: ribosomal RNA, 106 nt
Filed under: Acanthosepion pharaonis
Lineage: Eukaryota; Metazoa; Mollusca; Cephalopoda; Sepiida; Sepiidae
Source: RNAcentral